GCCGACAUGGUGAAAUUGGUAGACACGCUAUCUUGAGGGGGUAGUGGGCGUAGCCCGUGUGAGUUCGAGUCUCACUGUCGGCACCA
This 86-nucleotide transfer RNA is filed under the name Chitinivorax tropicus. Its description in RNAcentral is "tRNA-Leu". It matches the Rfam family "tRNA". Rfam says of the family: Transfer RNA (tRNA) molecules are approximately 80 nucleotides in length. Their secondary structure includes four short double-helical elements and three loops (D, anti-codon, and T loops). The record is from RNAcentral. Lineage: Bacteria; Pseudomonadati; Pseudomonadota; Betaproteobacteria.